AUUGAACGCUGGCGGCAUGCCUAACACAUGCAAGUCGAACGCGAAAGGGUUUCGGCCUGAGUAGAGUGGCGGACGGGUGAGUAAUGCAUCGGAAUCUGCCUUGAGGUGGGGGACAACCCAGGGAAACUUGGGCUAAUACCGCAUGAUCUCGAGAGAGCAAAGUGGGGGACCUGAGAGGGCCUCAUGCCUUGGGAGGAGCUGAUGUCCGAUUAGCUAGUUGGUGGGGUAAAGGCCUACCAAGGCGACGAUCGGUAGCUGGUCUGAGAGGAUGAUCAGCCACACUGGGACUGAGACACGGCCCAGACUCCUACGGGAGGCAGCAGUGGGGAAUAUUGGACAAUGGGGGAAACCCUGAUCCAGCAAUGCCGCGUGAGUGAAGAAGGCCUUCGGUGUAAAGCUCUUUUGUCAGGGAAGAAACACCGGACGUCUAACCACAGUCCGGGAAUGACGGUACC
This 455-nucleotide ribosomal RNA is filed under the name uncultured bacterium. Its description in RNAcentral is "bacterial SSU rRNA". It matches the Rfam family "Bacterial small subunit ribosomal RNA", at positions 29 to 479 of the family's 1533-position model. The record is from RNAcentral.